This 63-nucleotide transfer RNA is filed under the name Lasioderma redtenbacheri. RNAcentral describes it as "tRNA-Phe". The record is from RNAcentral. Lineage: Eukaryota; Metazoa; Arthropoda; Insecta; Coleoptera; Ptinidae.
AUUUAUAUAGCUUAUAAAGAGCACAAUAUUGAAGCUAUUGAGGAAACUUCUUGUUUAUAAAUA